RNAcentral lists this ribosomal RNA (717 nucleotides) under uncultured bacterium. Its description in RNAcentral is "bacterial SSU rRNA". It matches the Rfam family "Bacterial small subunit ribosomal RNA", at positions 94 to 787 of the family's 1533-position model. The record is from RNAcentral.
AGUGGCGCACGGGUGAGUAACGCGUGGGUAAUCUACCUUCGAAUUGGGGAUAACGUUGCGAAAGCGACGCUAAUACCGAAUAACAUCCAUUAAUCUUAGGGUUUUUGGAUCAAGGGUGGCCUCUACAUGUAAGCUACUGUUUGAAGAUGAGUCCGCGUACCAUUAGCUUGUUGGUGGGGUAAAGGCCUACCAAGGCAACGAUGGUUAGCUGGUCUGAGAGGAUGAUCAGCCACACUGGAACUGACACACGGUCCAGACUCCUACGGGAGGCAGCAGUGAGGAAUUUUGCGCAAUGGGCGAAAGCCUGACGCAGCAACGCCGCGUGAGUGAUGAAGGCUUUCGGGUCGUAAAGCUCUGUCAAGUGGGAAGAACCUAUGUAAUGCUAAUAUCAUUAUAUACUGACGGUACCACUGAAGGAAGCACCGGCUAACUCCGUGCCAGCAGCCGCGGUAAUACGGGGGGUGCAAGCGUUAUUCGGAAUCAUUGGGCGUAAAGAGCACGUAGGCGGCCUGGUAAGUCAGAUGUGAAAGCCCGGGGCUUAACCCCGGAAGUGCAUUUGAUACUGCCAGGCUUGAGUAUGGGAGAGGGAAGUGGAAUUCCUGGUGUAGAGGUGAAAUUCGUAGAUAUCAGAGGAACACCGGUGGCGAAGGCGACUUCCUGGACCAAUACUGACGCUGAGGUGCGAAGGGCGUGGGUAGCAAACAGGAUUAGAUACCC